AUUGAACGCUGGCGGCAGGCCUAACACAUGCAAGUCGAACGGUAACAGGAAGCAGCUUGCUGCUUUGCUGACGAGUGGCGGACGGGUGAGUAAUGUCUGGGAAACUGCCCGAUGGAGGGGGAUAACUACUGGAAACGGUAGCUAAUACCGCAUAACGUCGCAAGACCAAAGAGGGGGACCUUAGGGCCUCUUGCCAUCGGAUGUGCCCAGAUGGGAUUAGCUAGUAGGUGGGGUAACGGCUCACCUAGGCGACGAUCCCUAGCUGGUCUGAGAGGGUGACCAGGCACACUGGAACUGAGACACGGUCCAGACUCCUACGGGAGGCAGCAGUGGGGAAUAUUGCACAAUGGGCGCAAGCCUGAUGCAGCCAUGCCGCGUGUAUGAAGAAGGCCUUCGGGUUGUAAAGUACUUUCAGCGGGGAGGAAGGGAGUAAAGUUAAUACCUUUGCUCAUUGACGUUACCCGCAGAAGAAGCACCGGCUAACUCCGUG
RNAcentral lists this ribosomal RNA (490 nucleotides) under uncultured bacterium. RNAcentral describes it as "partial 16S ribosomal RNA". It matches the Rfam family "Bacterial small subunit ribosomal RNA", at positions 30 to 507 of the family's 1533-position model. The record is from RNAcentral.